RNAcentral lists this ribosomal RNA (253 nucleotides) under uncultured bacterium. RNAcentral describes it as "partial 16S ribosomal RNA". It matches the Rfam family "Bacterial small subunit ribosomal RNA", at positions 524 to 776 of the family's 1533-position model. The record is from RNAcentral.
GACGAACCGAGCGAACGUUGUUCGGAAUCACUGGGCUUAAAGGGCGCGUAGGCGGGUGCUCAAGUCUGUGGUGAAAUCCUCCAGCUUAACUGGAGAACUGCCAUGGAUACUGGGUGUCUCGAGGAAUGUAGGGGUAUGCGGAACGAUUGGUGGAGCGGUGAAAUGCGUUGAUAUCAAUCGGAACUCCGGUGGCGAAGGCGGCAUACUGGACAUUUUCUGACGCUGAGGCGCGAAAGCCAGGGGAGCAAACGGG